ACGCACGCUGGCGGCAUGCCUAACACAUGCAAGUCAAAGAGACCUUCGGGUCUUGUGGCCCCACGGUGCGGAAACCGUGGGAAACUUCCCUUAGGUUUGGAAUAACUUCCCCAAAAGGGGGCCAAUACCGGAUAAUGGUUUCCGACCAAAGAUUUAUCGCCUUUGGAUGGGCCCGCGUUGGAUUAGCUAGUUGGUAGGGUAAAAGCCUACCAAGGCGACGAUCCAUAGCUGGUCUGAGAGGAUGAUCAGCCACACUGGGACUGAGACACGGCCCAGACUCCUACGGGAGGCAGCAGUGGGGAAUAUUGGACAAUGGGUGAAAGCCUGAUCCAGCAAUGCCGCGUGAGUGAUGAAGGCCUUAGGGUUGUAAAGCUCUUUUACCCGGGAUGAUAAUGACAGUACCGGGAGAAUAAGCUCCGGCUAACUCCGUG
RNAcentral lists this ribosomal RNA (431 nucleotides) under uncultured bacterium. RNAcentral describes it as "partial 16S ribosomal RNA". It matches the Rfam family "Bacterial small subunit ribosomal RNA", at positions 29 to 507 of the family's 1533-position model. The record is from RNAcentral.